GACGAACGCUGGCGGCAUGCCUAACACAUGCAAGUCGAACGAGACCUUCGGGUCUAGUGGCGCACGGGUGCGUAACACGUGGGAAUCUGCCCUUUGCUUCGGAAUAACAGUUAGAAAUGACUGCUAAUACCGGAUGAUGUCGAAAGACCAAAGAUUUAUCGGCAAAGGAUGAGCCCGCGUAGGAUUAGGUAGUUGGUGGGGUAAAGGCCUACCAAGCCGACGAUCCUUAGCUGGUCUGAGAGGAUGAUCAGCCACACUGGGACUGAGACACGGCCCAGACUCCUACGGGAGGCAGCAGUGGGGAAUAUUGGACAAUGGGCGAAAGCCUGAUCCAGCAAUGCCGCGUGAGUGAUGAAGGCCUUAGGGUUGUAAAGCUCUUUUACCAGGGAUGAUAAUGACAGUACCUGGAGAAUAAGCUCCGGCUAACUCCGUG
RNAcentral lists this ribosomal RNA (433 nucleotides) under uncultured bacterium. RNAcentral describes it as "partial 16S ribosomal RNA". It matches the Rfam family "Bacterial small subunit ribosomal RNA", at positions 28 to 507 of the family's 1533-position model. The record is from RNAcentral.